RNAcentral lists this ribosomal RNA (489 nucleotides) under uncultured bacterium. Its description in RNAcentral is "partial 16S ribosomal RNA". It matches the Rfam family "Bacterial small subunit ribosomal RNA", at positions 28 to 507 of the family's 1533-position model. The record is from RNAcentral.
GACGAACGCUGGCGGCGUGCUUAACACAUGCAAGUCGAACGGUGAAGGGACCAGCUUGCUGGUUCUGGAUGAGUGGCGAACGGGUGAGUAACACGUGAGUAACCUGCCCCCUUCUUCUGGAUAACCGCAUGAAAGUGUGGCUAAUACGGGAUAUUCUGGGUCUGUCGCAUGGCGGGCCCGGGAAAGAUAUUGCUUCGGUGGGGGAUGGGCUCGCGGCCUAUCAGCUUGUUGGUGGGGUGAUGGCCUACCAAGGCGGUGACGGGUAGCCGGCCUGAGAGGGUGGACGGUCACACUGGGACUGAGACACGGCCCAGACUCCUACGGGAGGCAGCAGUGGGGAAUAUUGCACAAUGGGCGCAAGCCUGAUGCAGCGACGCCGCGUGAGGGAUGGAGGCCUUCGGGUUGUAAACCUCUUUCGCCAGUGAAGCAGGCCUGCUCCUUGUGGGUGGGUUGACGGUAGCAGGAUAAGAAGCGCCGGCUAACUACGUG